This is a long non-coding RNA of Lagopus leucura (white-tailed ptarmigan), 991 nucleotides long. RefSeq lists it as uncharacterized. Lineage: Eukaryota; Metazoa; Chordata; Aves; Galliformes; Phasianidae. The record is from RefSeq and is a predicted model, not a curated record. The transcript has 6 exons.
CCAAUGCCAUUGUUGAGAUCCCUGUCAUGUUCAUCCUAGUGGGUCUUCUUUAUUUUUUCUAUAAAGCCCGGAGGACUGAUCCUGGAUAUAUUAAGUCUUCAGAAAAAGACAAAAAAGAGGGAGAUUAAACUGCAAUUUUAACUUUUUUGGCAUUGUGGCCACAGAACUGGUGAAUAUUGGCUAUCUGGUGCCCACAGAGAACCAGUGAGUGCUUAUCAGGGCAAGAACCGCAGGUAUUUCCACGUGUUGUUGCUCGGCACUCCAAGUGCUCAGUGUCUGCAAAAGGCCUCACGUACAAAUCUUCAUAGGUCCCAUAAAACGUCAUCCAAGUGCACGCAGAAACUCUUCUGUCUUUCAGAACAUUGCAGCUCUAGCAGAAGCAGGGUGCUUGGACUUCAGAACAUUCUGCACGUCAUGUCUUGUAAGGAAGCCUUUGAGAUCUGUGCACUGCGUUCCUUGUGAUUCAUGUGUAGCCAGAUAUGAUCAGCAUUCUCUGUGAAUUGCACAGUGCACAGACUGCAUUCUUGGGACUGACCUCACAUGAGAGAGUGAACCUCCUGAUGGAGAGCAAAUCUUCUAAGCAUCCUGUUUCACUCAGGAGAAAUCCAUACAAUCUUGGAUGCUUCCAGAAUCUUGCAGACUUCUUUCAAUGCAGAUGUUUUGGUAUGGUCAAACCCAGUGGAGUUGGCUGGACCAAGCAAUACAACGUUCACGUGAUAAAGAAGAAAAACGUUUGCUGUGUAUGAAUUCUUACUUGAUUUCUAAAGCUGCUGAGCUGUGUGAGAAAUAAAACUGGAUGUUUUGUUAAUUUUUAUAUUCUUCCAAAAUCUGCUUGUUUUUAUUUUUUUAUUGUUCUAAAUAUUAAAACUUUCUUGCGUAAGGGACAGCAGAUGCGGGUAUGAAACAACUACUGUGCCUCUUUAUGUACAGCAUGAGCUGACACUUUUUGAAAUGUUAUUUGAAAAAGUGACAAUAUACUUUCUCAAAGGGU